GAGACAGAGAUGUUAGCGAAACCCAAAAAAGUAAGUCUCAGUACGGAUUGAAGGCUGAAAUUCGCCUUCAUGAGGCCGGAAUUGCUAGUAAUGGCAGGUCAGCAUACUGCCGUGAAUACGUUCCCGGGCCUUGUACACACCGCCCGUCACACCAUGAGAGUUGGGAAUACCCGAAGCCUGUGAGCUAACAGUAGAGGCAGCAGUCGAAGGUAGAAUCAAUGAUUGGGGUGAAGUCGUAACAAGGUAUC
RNAcentral lists this ribosomal RNA (248 nucleotides) under uncultured bacterium. Its description in RNAcentral is "partial 16S ribosomal RNA". It matches the Rfam family "Bacterial small subunit ribosomal RNA", at positions 1251 to 1500 of the family's 1533-position model. The record is from RNAcentral.